Molecule: RNA transcript, 4005 nt
Organism: Panicum hallii
Lineage: Eukaryota; Viridiplantae; Streptophyta; Magnoliopsida; Poales; Poaceae
Gene name: pentatricopeptide repeat-containing protein At4g13650-like
Exons: 5
Source: RefSeq, a predicted model, not a curated record
AAAAAAAUCCCCGAAGCUAGAUGCCCACCGUGACCUACCGGUACCAGGCCCUCAAGGAAUCCCUCGCCGCCGCCAUCACCUCCUCCUCCUCCCCCCAGGCCGCCGCCGACCCCCGCCUCCCCCACGCGCUCGCUGUCGUCUCUGGCCUCGCCGCCAACGGCUACCUCGCCUCCCUCCUCGUCGCCCGCUACGCCCGCCUCGGCGACCCCGAUGCCGCGCGCGGGGUCUUCGACGCCGCCGCCGCCGCCGCCGCCGCGACCUCCUCCUCAUCCCCCGCGGCGGCGCCGCCCAAGCCGCUCCUCUACAACGCCAUGCUGCGGGCCUACCUCGCCCUGGGCCGCCCGCGCGAGGCGGCCGCGCUCUUCCGCGCCAUGCCCCCCGGCUGCCCGCGCGACCGCCAUACGUUCCACCUCGCCGCCACGGCCUGCGCGCGCGCCCCGGACCCCGAGAUCGGCCGCCGGGUCGGGGCAGCCGCCGCGGCCGCGGGGCUCGCGUCCGACCUCCUGGUCGCCACGGCGCUGGUCGGGAUGCACGCUGAGGCCGGGGACAUGGGCGCCGCGCGGGGGGUGUUCGACGGAGUGCCGCGCCCGGACGCCGUGGCGUGGAACGCGCUGAUCGGCGGGUACACGCGCGCGGGGCGCCUGGGUGAGGCCCUGGAGAUGUUCGGCAGGAUGAGGUCCGAGGAUGGAGCGCGGCCGACGGAGGCGACGCUCGUGAGCUUGGUUUCUGGUUAUGCCGGCUUCGGUCCUUGGAGGGGCAGAGGUAUGAUGCACGGCGUUGUGGUUAAGUCUGGCUUCCACUGCAGCCUCUUCGUUUGCAAUUCUCUCCUGGAGAUGUAUGCGGAGUUGGGCUCUUUGAGCGAGGCGGUGACGGUGUUUCGGCAUAUGGAGGCGAAGGACUCUGUUACUUGGAGCUCGAUGAUUGGUGGACUUGUUCGGAAUGGCAAACCGGGACAUGCUAUUAAGCUUUUCCACUGGAUGGUUUUGAAUUCGGAGGUGUUGGUCACACGGUCUAUCUUGCUUAACGUGAUAAUGGCCUGCGCUGAGUUGGGGAACUGGAGAGAAGGAAAAUGGAUUGAAGAAAACUAUGUAUUGUGUAAUGGCAGUGCAUUCAAGAGAGAUCCCUCUGUAUUGACCGCGCUGAUAUAUAUGUACGCAAAAUGCGGACAAUUAGGUUGGUCUGAUUGUCUUCUUCAUGGAUCUGCAGAGGUUAGAAGCGACGUGGUUGCAUGGAAUGCCCUGAUCAAAGGAUGUGGAGAGCUUGGACAAAUGGACAAGGCAAUCUGGUUUGCAAUAGAAAUGCAGAGGAUGGGCAUUGAUCCGGAUGCUGUUACAUUCUUGGAGAUCCUACCAAUGAUCUCGCUGAUUCCCUCGCUGAAGAAGGGGAUGGAAGCACAUGCUCAGAUUGUCAAAAGGGGUUUCCAGAAUGAACGAACGAUUGCUAAUUCACUUGUUUCCAUGUAUGGUCGGUGCGGGAGUCUUAGUCUUUCAGUUGGUGCCUUUGCUGGGAUUAUGGACAAGGAUGCAAUCUCUUGGACUUCUAUGAUGCAGGUAUAUGCAUGGAAUGGACUUGCUGCAGAAGUUGUCAAGCUUUUUGAGCUGAUGAAGGAAACAGAAGUACAACCAAAUCACUAUACUUUUGUUGCUGUGCUGGCUGCCUAUAAAAACACAGGUCUUGUUGAGGAGGGAAUUGGCUUUCUUAAGUGCAUGAAAGAACAGUAUGGUCUAGAGCCUCAUAUUGAGCAUAUAUCAUGUGUUGUUGAUAUGCUUUGUCGUGCUGGUCGCUUGACUGAUGCAUACCACCUGAUCCAGAAUUCUCGUUCUGAACACGUGAAAAACCCUAUAAUGUGGGGGACAUUGUUAAGUGGUUCCCGUUCAUGGGGGGAUUUGGUGAUUGGAGAAGCAGCAGCCAGGCAUCUUUUGUCCUUGGAUCUAGAAAACAGAGCUAACUAUAAAAUGCUGGCUGAUAUUUAUGUUUCACUUGGGAGAAGGGACAAUGCUGAUGAUGUCUUGAGACUGUUGAUGUCAAGAGAACUGGAUUUGAGACCAGGCUGUACCUGGACUGAAAGUGGCUAAAGAUUGCAAUAUAUGCUAGAAGAUGUCUCGGUGCAGGCUUACAUUUUGUACGGAAGCAGGGCUGCUUCAGUGCUGGAUCAUCUUCAGGAGGUUGCUGUCCAAAGAUCAUCUCACAGCUCAUGUCCUCAAAAUCUGAACAAUGUUUAGUCUCUCAGGCUAUCGUCUCAUGGAUAAGAACAUAUGGAACUUACUGGGAGACAUGUAGACAGCCGUGCCGAGUGAAUCUUGGAUGAACUUCUGGCAUGGGAUCUUGCAAAGAUUCGUGCACAUCCCAACACAGUUGGUGCUUUCCAGAAAUCUGUCAGAGUAAGAUAAGGAAGAAAAGGCUAUUCCUUUGUCAUUCCUCAAAUAAAUUAUAAUAUGGAGGAGAAAGAUGUGUUAUACCUCGCAUGGUCCAACGAGCCAAGGGAAGAAUAUGGUGGUGAAGGCUGCGAAGUACUCCCGGGAAAAUCUUGAAGGCGGCAUCAUCACCUUGAUCUGCCCAACAGAAUGAACGCUGUCAAUCCAAGCAAAGAGCAUAAAACCACUUGCCAUUGUGAGGAUGUAGCUGGGGAACGCGCGUUCCAGAGCGGUGGCCACAGUCUGCCACUGCUGAUCAACCCUGAACAGCCCGGAGAUGGCGAGGGCCGCCUCUAUCAGGCCUUCGUAGCCGUCCUUUCCGUUCUUCAGCCCUGCGUAACACAUCCACUGAAUCCACGCUGGUAGGAGUAUCAAUCACAAGACUGUAGGGAAACCAGUUAACAAACUUUCCCAUGCUUUUCAUCAUGCCUUUGUCCGCUGUCAGCGCCGUGCUGGGGAGAGGAUGAGAAAAACUGAGAGGGCCAGCAUGGGGUUUGGUCUGGUAGGGGCGGAGGGCACCGUGCAGAACAGUGUAGGACACCGCGGCGGCCACUGUGCUGACGACCGGACACGGUGUGACAACGCGGUGUCGGUCCCAUUGUGCAGUCGAUCUAGGCCGUCCGGUUCAGAUCCGACGGUUAAGGUUUAUGAUAAGGCGCGGAAGUACAGGGAUCUACUACGGCCUUAAUUUACUCCUCCAGUGACGAGAGAAUCUUCCUCCGGCUAACUAAGUGGGCUGUGAAGGAUGCUUAAUUGUUCUAAACAGGUAGAAAUUACAAGAGGGUAAGUGGUUGAUUUUUACUGAAGGGAAAAAAAUCUGCACGCAUGAUGUCUUUUUGGAGGUCGACCACCAUUUUCUUGGGUAUCUUAGCUCCGAGAGAGGAAAAAGGUUGGAGGAGAAAACCCAAAAUUAAGGAUAGAUUCAUCCACUACUAGAUUCCUAGAAAUGCGCACCUCACACCUGUGCGAAUCGCAGGUUUCGACCUCUCUUAGUUGCCGAUAUGCUGAUGAUGCACUUCCGUUUCAUAAUUUUAUAUAUAUGUACCUUAUUGUACCUCCCUUUUGGAUGAAUUUUAACAAGCUUUUCGCAUCUUUUGGACUAGUAACACAACAAACACUUACAAAUUGUUUUUUUUAAAAAAAAAACACUUGCAAAUUCAACACAAAUUUAAAAUUUGUAAGAGGUUCAAAUAGGCAUCGGCACCAGUCCGUAGAAGUCGAGGAGGGAAUCUGUAGGCUCGGGACGAAAACUUAGCGUCACAUCAUGCAGUCGCUUGCAUGAUCAUCAACAUCAACCAUUGCUAAAAUAUGGACAUGGGCAUAGGAGGACACACCACUGUACGUCUAUAGCAAAGAAGCCAAAUACUAGCACAUCAAAAGAGACGCAUGAAUGAAUCCGAGAAAAGAAAAGAAAAAAACAUGAACAGUUCUCCAAAAGCAUGGGAUUAUUCAGCUUGGUUCAUGCAAAUCCAAUCGCAGUCAUGGAGGCGCCAUGGCUGCUGGCUACGCACGCGGAAGCUUUCGAUCAUUCCGAAGGUGGCGAGCGAGAGAGAAUGCGUAGGCGCGAGGAGUACCGGAAGCUUCUUGAAGG